AUACAGAGGGUGCGAGCGUUAAUCGGAAUUACUGGGCGUAAAGCGCGCGUAGGCGGCUUAUUAAGUCAGAUGUGAAAUCCCCGGGCUCAACCUGGGAACUGCAUCUGAUACUGGUAAGCUAGAGUUUUGGAGAGGGAAGUAGAAUUUCAGGUGUAGCGGUGAAAUGCAUAGAGAUCUGAAGGAAUACCAGUGGCGAAGGCGACUUCCUGGCCAAAAACUGACGCUGAGGUGCGAAAGCGUGGGUAGCAAACGGGAUUAGAAACCCGGGUAGUCC
RNAcentral lists this ribosomal RNA (274 nucleotides) under uncultured bacterium. RNAcentral's name for it is "partial 16S ribosomal RNA". It matches the Rfam family "Bacterial small subunit ribosomal RNA", at positions 523 to 796 of the family's 1533-position model. The record is from RNAcentral.